UACAGAGGGGGCAAGCGUUGUUCGGAAUUACUGGGCGUAAAGGGCGCGUAGGCGGCCUGCUAAGUCGAACGUGAAAUCCCUGGGCUCAACCCAGGAACUGCGUCCGAUACUGGUUGGCUUGAAUCCGGGAGAGGGAUGUGGAAUUCCAGGUGUAGCGGUGAAAUGCGUAGAUAUCUGGAGGAAUACCGGUGGCGAAGGCGGCAUCCUGGACCGGAAUUGACACUGAGGAGCGAAAGCCAGGGGAGCAAACGGG
RNAcentral lists this ribosomal RNA (253 nucleotides) under uncultured bacterium. RNAcentral's name for it is "partial 16S ribosomal RNA". It matches the Rfam family "Bacterial small subunit ribosomal RNA", at positions 524 to 776 of the family's 1533-position model. The record is from RNAcentral.